Molecule: ribosomal RNA, 208 nt
Filed under: uncultured bacterium
Lineage: Bacteria
Description: partial 16S ribosomal RNA
Rfam family: Bacterial small subunit ribosomal RNA
Source: RNAcentral
CACGUAGGCGGUGCAUCAAGUGCGGAGUGAAAUCCCACGGCUCACCCGUGGAACUGCUCUGCAUACUGGUGUGCUCGAGGACGGUAGAGGAGAGCGGAACUCUUGGUGGAGCGGUGAAAUGCGUAGAUAUCAAGAGGAACACCGAAGGCGAAGGCAGCUCUCUGGUCCGUUUCUGACGCUGGGGUGCGAAAGCCGAGGGUAGCGAACG